This 459-nucleotide ribosomal RNA is filed under the name uncultured bacterium. RNAcentral's name for it is "SSU rRNA". It matches the Rfam family "Bacterial small subunit ribosomal RNA", at positions 26 to 518 of the family's 1533-position model. The record is from RNAcentral.
AGAAUCAACGCUGGCGGCGUGCCUAACACAUGCAAGUCGAACGAGAAAGUGGAGCAAUCCAUGAGUAAAGUGGCGCACGGGUGAGUAACACGUGACUAACCUACCCUUGAGUGGGGGAUAACCUAGAGAAAUCUGGGCUAAUACCGCAUAAUACCUUCGGGUCAAAGGAGCAAUUCGCUUAAGGAGGGGGUCGCGGCCGAUUAGUUAGUUGGCGGGGUAAUGGCCCACCAAGACUAUGAUCGGUAUCCGGCCUGAGAGGGCGCACGGACACACUGGAACUGAAACACGGUCCAGACUCCUACGGGAGGCAGCAGUGGGGAAUUUGCGCAAUGGGGGAAACCCUGACGCAGCAACGCCGCGUGGAGGAUGAAGUCCCUUGGGACGUAAACUCCUUUCGAUCGGGACGAUAAUGACGGUACCGAGAGAAGAAGCCCCGGCUAACUUCGUGCCAGCAGCCGC